UACAGAGGUGUCAAGCGUUGCUCGGUGUCACUGGGCUUAAAGGGCGCGUAGGCUGUGCGGUACGGUUCGGGUGAAAUCCCUCGGCUCAACCGAGGAACCGCCUGGGCGACGGCCGCGCUGGACUGCAUCAGGGGCGGAUGGAACUCCCGGUGGAGCGGUGAAAUGCGUAGAUAUCGGGAGGAACGCCGGUGGCGAAAGCGAUCCGCUGGGGUGCAAGUGACGCUGAGGCGCGAAAGCUAGGGGAGCAAACGGG
Molecule: ribosomal RNA, 253 nt
Filed under: uncultured bacterium
Lineage: Bacteria
Description: partial 16S ribosomal RNA
Rfam family: Bacterial small subunit ribosomal RNA
Source: RNAcentral